RNAcentral lists this long non-coding RNA (453 nucleotides) under Brachypodium distachyon (stiff brome). Its description in RNAcentral is "long non-coding RNA (BDIS_LNC000861)". The record is from RNAcentral. Lineage: Eukaryota; Viridiplantae; Streptophyta; Magnoliopsida; Poales; Poaceae.
GACAAGACACAAGGUUUCCCUCCAACAUGUUAGUUUGACUAUCAAAUAUGGCCCUCACACCAUAAGAAAAAUGUAUGCAGUCAAUGAGUGACAGGUUGAAAUACAACAAACCAUAAUUGACAUGCAAGCGGCAACCUAUGAAACCUGCCUGCAAGUGUAGAUAGUGUCAAUCUAGACAUCUAAUAGACUAAUAAACCUUUUUACUUGCGUUUGGUAUAAACUGCCUUCAGAUAUAUAUACUUUUGAUAACUUUUUGGAAGAUGGGUAUUUUUCUUAUAUUUUUUUGGUACUCCCUCCGUUCCAUUAAACAACUCAUAUUUUUUUCUAUUUGUUCCCUCAUAUAUUCCCGCUAUCAGCCAAUAAGUGUUCAUGCUCAUUUAUUCCUAAAUCAACUUGGUUUGGCGGACACUAGAAAUGAGAGCUUAUCUUGAUUGAAGUGCACAAAUUUAUAUG